UUUAAAUACUUUUUAAAGUAUCAAUUGGAGGGCAAGUCUGGUGCCAGCAGCCGCGGUAAUUCCAGCUCCAAUAGCGUAUAUUAAAAUUGUUGCAGUUAAAAAGCUCGUAGUUGAAUUUUUGCUAAAAAUAACCGGUCUGCUUUUAUUAAUAAAAGUGGUAUCUUGGUGUGUUUUUAGCAAUAAUAUCCUUUGAAAUGUUUUUUACUUCAUUGUAAAAAGCAAUUUUCAGGAUUUUUACUUUGAGAAAAUUAGAGUGUUUCAAGCAGGCUAACGUUUUGAAUACUGCAGCAUGGAAUAAUAAAAUAGGAUUUUAGUUCUACGUUAUUGGUUUUAAGAACUAAAUUAAUGAUUGAUAGGAGCAGUUGGGGGCAUUUGUAUUUAACUGUCAGAGGUGAAAUUCUUAGAUUUGUUAAAGACACACUACUGCGAAAGCAUUUGCCAAAGAUGUUUUCAUUAAUC
This 459-nucleotide ribosomal RNA is filed under the name Hepatozoon sp. ex Neotoma fuscipes KEA-2011. RNAcentral's name for it is "partial 18S ribosomal RNA". It matches the Rfam family "Eukaryotic small subunit ribosomal RNA", at positions 524 to 978 of the family's 1831-position model. The record is from RNAcentral. Lineage: Eukaryota; Apicomplexa; Hepatozoidae.